RNAcentral lists this ribosomal RNA (253 nucleotides) under uncultured bacterium. RNAcentral's name for it is "partial 16S ribosomal RNA". It matches the Rfam family "Bacterial small subunit ribosomal RNA", at positions 524 to 776 of the family's 1533-position model. The record is from RNAcentral.
UACGGAGGGGGCUAGCGUUGUUCGGAAUUAUUGGGCGUAAAGCGCGCGCAGGCGGUCCUUUAAGUCUGAUGUGAAAGCCCACGGCUCAACCGUGGAGGGUCAUUGGAAACUGGGGGACUUGAGUACAGAAGAGGAAAGCGGAAUUCCAAGUGUAGCGGUGAAAUGCGUAGAGAUUUGGAGGAACACCAGUGGCGAAGGCGGCUUUCUGGUCUGUAACUGACGCUGAGGCGCGAAAGCGUGGGGAGCAAACAGG